This is a long non-coding RNA of Gopherus flavomarginatus (Mexican gopher tortoise), 371 nucleotides long. RefSeq lists it as uncharacterized. The record is from RefSeq and is a predicted model, not a curated record. NCBI's taxonomy places the organism in Eukaryota, Metazoa, Chordata, Testudines, Testudinidae. The transcript has 3 exons.
ACUGGCUGGGGGAGGGGCAGGCUGGCGCAGUGGGGGAACAGUUGUGGGACAGGCUGGGGGAGGGGCAGGCUGGCGCAGUGGGGGAACAGUUGUGGGACUGGCUGGGGGAGGGGCAGGCUGGCGCAGUGGGGGAACAGUUGUGGGACUGGCUGGGGGAGGGGCAGGCUGGCGCAGUGGGGGAACAGUUGUGGGACUGGCUGGGGGAGGGGCAGGCUGGCGCAGUGGGGGAACAGUUGUGGGACAGGCUGGGGGAGGGGCAGGCUGGCGCAUGGGGGAACAGUUGUGGGACAGGCUGGGGGAGGGGCAGGCUGGCGCAUGGGGGAACAGUUGUGGGACAGGCUGGGGGAGGGGCAGGCUGGCGCAGUGGGGGA